AACGCACAUUGCGCCCUCUGGUAUUCCGGGGGGCAUGCCUGUUCGAGCGUCAUGAACGCCUCUCAAGCUCAGCUUGGUAUUGGGCCCUCGUUCCCUCAACCGGGACGUGCCCGAAAGUCAGCGGCGAUGUGACCGGACCUCCAGUGUAGUAACUACUUCCGCUGAGACGGCCCCGGGUGCUUUGGCCGGACAACCAACCAAUUCUUUCAAUGGAUUGACCUCGGAUCAGGUAGGGAUACCCGCUGAACUUAA
RNAcentral lists this unclassified non-coding RNA (252 nucleotides) under uncultured Lecanoromycetes. RNAcentral's name for it is "sequence contains ITS2". The stretch from base 1 to 52 matches the Rfam family "5.8S ribosomal RNA", at positions 103 to 154 of the family's 154-position model. Lineage: Eukaryota; Fungi; Ascomycota; Lecanoromycetes. The record is from RNAcentral.